RNAcentral lists this ribosomal RNA (645 nucleotides) under Triticum aestivum (bread wheat). RNAcentral's name for it is "partial small subunit ribosomal RNA". The record is from RNAcentral. Lineage: Eukaryota; Viridiplantae; Streptophyta; Magnoliopsida; Poales; Poaceae.
AUGGAGGUGAAGGCGAAGCCGGCGAGGGGCGGGAAGAGGACCAGGGCAAGCGUCGGCACGGCCGGGACGCCGACGGAGAAGCUACUGAUGGAGAAGAAAGACUCGGAGAAGGAGAGGCGGCAGCGCAUGAAGGCGCUCUGCGACAAGCUAGCGUCCCUCAUCCCCAAAGAAGACAACCCCCACGCUGAUACAGUGACCCAACUAGGCAGCCUGGAUGUGGCCGCAUCAUACAUCAAGAAGCUCAAGGAGAGGGUAGAUGAGCUGCAACGUAAGAAGGCCUCAAUGCAAGCCAUGGCUACCUCACGGGGAGUUAAUGACAUCAGAACGCCCACAACCACCACAAACACAAGUAGCGGUGCCGGGUCACUGGAAGGAGAAAAAUAUUUGGAGGCAUCACCAACAGUAGUGGAGGUGCGACAAUCCGACGAAUCAAGCAUGGAGGUGCGGCUGAUAUGCAGCACGAAGAGACCGAUCAAGCUCCAUGAGGUGAUCACCAUUCACGAAGAAGAAGGGGCCGACAUCGUCAACGCCAAUCAUUCUGUUGCUGGCCACAAAAUAUUUUACACUAUACACUCCCGGGCCUUCAGCACAAGAAUUGGCAUAGAUGUUUCAAGAAUUAACGAACGACUGAGAGCAUUGGUAUGA